GCCGUCAUCCCGCACGCCACCGUCGUGUUACUGCCGCCCUUCAAAGAGUGAAAUUUGGUAGGUUGGUGGUGGUCGGUGGCGGCGCCAUAUAUGCUGUGGUUGAAGAAGUUCACCAUGGCUUCAAAGAACAAGCUUAUUUUGUUAUAUGCAAAGAAGAUUUCUGUGCUUACUUUUUUGUGUUUUAAUUUUUCUGAAAACUUUGAC
Molecule: long non-coding RNA, 204 nt
Filed under: Trifolium pratense (red clover)
Lineage: Eukaryota; Viridiplantae; Streptophyta; Magnoliopsida; Fabales; Fabaceae
Description: long non-coding RNA (TPRA_LNC000154)
Source: RNAcentral